GAUGAACGCUGGCGGCGUGCCUAAUACAUGCAAGUCGAGCGAACGGACGAGAAGCUUGCUUCUCUGAUGUUAGCGGCGGACGGGUGAGUAACACGUGGAUAACCUACCUAUAAGACUGGGAUAACUUCGGGAAACCGGAGCUAAUACCGGAUAAUAUUUUGAACCGCAUGGUUCAAAAGUGAAAGACGGUCUUGCUGUCACUUAUAGAUGGAUCCGCGCUGCAUUAGCUAGUUGGUAAGGUAACGGCUUACCAAGGCAACGAUGCAUAGCCGACCUGAGAGGGUGAUCGGCCACACUGGAACUGAGACACGGUCCAGACUCCUACGGGAGGCAGCAGUAGGGAAUCUUCCGCAAUGGGCGAAAGCCUGACGGAGCAACGCCGCGUGAGUGAUGAAGGUCUUCGGAUCGUAAAACUCUGUUAUUAGGGAAGAACAUAUGUGUAAGUAACUGUGCACAUCUUGACGGUACCUAAUCAGAAAGCCACGGCUAACUACGUGCCAGCAGCCGCGGUAAUACGUAGGUGGCAAGCGUUAUCCGGAAUUAUUGGGCGUAAAGCGCACGUAGGCGGUUUUUUAAGUCUGAUGUGAAAGCCCACGGCUCAACCGUGGAGGGUCAUUGGAAACUGGAAAACUUGAGUGCAGAAGAGGAAAGUGGAAUUCCAUGUGUAGCGGUGAAAUGCGCAGAGAUAUGGAGGAACACCAGUGGCGAAGGCGACUUUCUGGUCUGUAACUGACGCUGAUGUGCGAAAGCGUGGGGAUCAAACAGGAUUAGAUACCCUGGUAGUCCACGCCGUAAACGAUGAGUGCUAAGUGUUAGGGGGUUUCCGCCCCUUAGUGCUGCAGCUAACGCAUUAAGCACUCCGCCUGGGGAGUACGACCGCAAGGUUGAAACUCAAAGGAAUUGACGGGGACCCGCACAAGCGGUGGAGCAUGUGGUUUAAUUCGAAGCAACGCGAAGAACCUUACCAAAUCUUGACAUCCUUUGACGACUCUAGAGAUAGAGCCUUCCCCUUCGGGGGACAAAGUGACAGGUGGUGCAUGGUUGUCGUCAGCUCGUGUCGUGAGAUGUUGGGUUAAGUCCCGCAACGAGCGCAACCCUUAAGCUUAGUUGCCAUCAUUAAGUUGGGCACUCUAAGUUGACUGCCGGUGACAAACCGGAGGAAGGUGGGGAUGACGUCAAAUCAUCAUGCCCCUUAUGAUUUGGGCUACACACGUGCUACAAUGGACAAUACAAAGGGCAGCGAAACCGCGAGGUCAAGCAAAUCCCAUAAAGUUGUUCUCAGUUCGGAUUGUAGUCUGCAACUCGACUACAUGAAGCUGGAAUCGCUAGUAAUCGUAGAUCAGCAUGCUACGGUGAAUACGUUCCCGGGUCU
RNAcentral lists this ribosomal RNA (1372 nucleotides) under uncultured bacterium. RNAcentral describes it as "bacterial SSU rRNA". It matches the Rfam family "Bacterial small subunit ribosomal RNA", at positions 28 to 1381 of the family's 1533-position model. The record is from RNAcentral.